CGGGCGCGGAGAGGCGGCGGCCAUGUUUUUCCUAACCCUAUUUGAGAUGAGCGUAGGCGUAGUUGCUCCCGCCGCGCUGUUUUUCUCGCUGACUUUCAGCCGGCGGAAGAGCUUGGGUUCACCUCACCAUCCCGCCUGAGGUAAACAAACAAACAAAAAAUGUCGGUGGCUGGCCGCUCUGCCUCUCCCGGGGCCCUGCGGAGGUUGCCGGCGCGCCCAGUGCGCUCUCGCAGCCCGCCUGGAGGCCGCGGUGGGCCCGGGGCUUCUCUGGAGGCGCCCACUGCCGCCGCGAAGAGUUCGCGCUCUGUCAGCCGCGGGCACUGGGGCGCUGCGGGCGAGGUCCGGCUCGCUGGCCGCAGGGAAAGGAACGGAGCGUGGUCCCGGAGCGUGGCUUCCCUGAGCGGUGGGAAGUGCACCCGCAACCGGCUCACACACAU
RNAcentral lists this telomerase RNA (437 nucleotides) under Jaculus jaculus (lesser Egyptian jerboa). Its description in RNAcentral is "Vertebrate telomerase RNA (ENSJJAG00000007825.1)". It matches the Rfam family "Vertebrate telomerase RNA". Rfam says of the family: Telomerase is a ribonucleoprotein reverse transcriptase that synthesises telomeric DNA. Telomerase RNAs differ greatly in sequence and structure between vertebrates, ciliates and yeasts, but they share a 5' pseudoknot structure close to the template sequence. The record is from Rfam by way of RNAcentral. Lineage: Eukaryota; Metazoa; Chordata; Mammalia; Rodentia; Dipodidae.